AAUGGAGAUACUUCACACCUCGAAGCAACUGCAUGCAAAUGUCAAUUUAGUUUUCAGAAGAGAAAAAGAGUUUCAGCGAAUUACUUAGCAUCUGGCAAUCACAUAGCACUGACAAGAUAUUCAAGCUGAUCUGGAGGGAAAUUCCUUUACGCAUUGCAUGGGAAAUACGGCUGGAACGAAAUAGAAGAUGCUUUGAAGGAAAAAUGGAGUUCAUAGGAGUUAUAAAACUUAAAUGUAUUCAGAAUUUAUUGUACUGGUACAAAGGGAUUGUUGCUACUGAUUUGGAAGAAUUCAAGUCCAAAAUUUUGUUUC
Molecule: long non-coding RNA, 312 nt
Organism: Nicotiana attenuata
Lineage: Eukaryota; Viridiplantae; Streptophyta; Magnoliopsida; Solanales; Solanaceae
Exons: 2
Source: RefSeq, a predicted model, not a curated record